CGAGCUGGCCCCUUCUUGUCAGGCUGCUGGGCUCCAGAGUCCCUCGCCAGAGCCUUCCCUGACUAGCCGCUUCCAGUCACUCUGAUUUCCUUCCUCUGUAGCAGUGAUCGCUCCUUCCCUUCGUCCCUUCGUUAUUGCCUGCUUCUCCCCACGGGAGGGACCUCAGCAUCGCCGUGAGCACAGGGCCUGGAAGAGGGCCCUGCACACGAGGCACUCAGCAUACGAUCUUUGUGCUGGAAAUUUCCCUCGUGGCUCCCGCGAGCACCGGCAGACGGGCACGUGCGCUCGCACGCAGGCACGCACACACACAGCCGCAGCCCCUCUCCUUGGCACGAUGCUAAUGGGGGCUUUGCAGGUGCUGAGCUGUGGGAAUGGAAGCUGCAGAGUGAAUAACAGUUGGCACCUGUGCCGAGCUUGCCGCAGAGCUACAACCACGGUGCCCGCCGGAAUUAGAGAUGCUUUUCAGUGCUGGAUGAAGGGAGGGGCCGAAGACAGGGGAGCGUGGAGAGCUGUGAGCACUGGGCAUCAGACUGCAGAGGUGCUGGGCAGGAGGAGGUGAAGUGAUCUUCCACCUCCUCACGUGCCCGUCUCUGUGAUCCUACAGAAGUCACUCGUUCCAGGCCACCAUUAUGGGGAACAAAUAUUAGGAGCAUCCUAAGUUGACAGCAGGAGGGUCAAGACAAAAAGGAGCUGUGCAACCUCAGGCUAUGGCAGCAGCGAGGAAAAAGGACAAGGGUGCCCUGUGAAAAGGAAGCUCCAGGAAAUGCUAUUCCCGAAAAAGAAAGCAAGCCUAAAGAAGGAAGGUGCAGACAGCACACACCGUGCAAUUCCACCUUUUUUUUUUUUUUUAAUCUGACAAAACGAUGCCAUGUAUUGUGAUUGGCCACAUCCACACACAGGCACCAAACACACACGACACACACACGCACA
RNAcentral lists this long non-coding RNA (930 nucleotides) under Equus caballus (horse). RNAcentral describes it as "lncRNA (ENSECAG00000044455.1)". The record is from RNAcentral. Lineage: Eukaryota; Metazoa; Chordata; Mammalia; Perissodactyla; Equidae.